GACGAACGCUGGCGGCGUGCCUAAUACAUGCAAGUCGAACGAGAGCGCCCGGUGCUUGCACUGGUCAAUCUAGUGGCGAACGGGUGAGUAACACGUGGGUAACCUGCCCAUCAGAGGGGGAUAACAUCCGGAAACGGAUGCUAAAACCGCAUAGGUCUUCGAACCGCAUGGUUUGAAGAGGAAAAGAGGCGCAAGCUUCUGCUGAUGGAUGGACCCGCGGUGCAUUAGCUAGUUGGUGAGGUAACGGCUCACCAAGGCCGUGAUGCAUAGCCGACCUGAGAGGGUGAUCGGCCACAUUGGGACUGAGACACGGCCCAAACUCCUACGGGAGGCAGCAGUAGGGAAUCUUCCGCAAUGGACGCAAGUCUGACGGAGCAACGCCGCGUGAGUGAAGAAGGUUUUCGGAUCGUAAAACUCUGUUGUUAGAGAAGAACAAGUGUUAGAGUAACUGUUAGCGCCUUGACGGUAUCUAACCAGAAAGCCACGGCUAACUACGUG
RNAcentral lists this ribosomal RNA (498 nucleotides) under uncultured bacterium. Its description in RNAcentral is "partial 16S ribosomal RNA". It matches the Rfam family "Bacterial small subunit ribosomal RNA", at positions 28 to 507 of the family's 1533-position model. The record is from RNAcentral.